GAUGAAGAACGUUGCGAAAUGCGAUAAGUAAUGUGAAUUGCAGAAUUCAGUGAAUCAUCGAAUCUUUGAACGCACAUUGCGCCCGUCAGUAUUCUGGCGGGCAUGCCUGUUCGAGCGUCAUUACGCCCCUCAAGUCCCCUGUGGACUUGGUGUUGGGGAUCGGCGAGGCUGGUUUUCCAGCACAGCCGUCCCUUAAAUUAAUUGGCGGUCUCGCCGUGGCCCUCCUCUGCGCAGUAGUAAAACACUCGCAACAGGAGCCCGGCGCGGUCCACUGCCGUAAAACCCCCCAACUUUUUAUAGUUGACCUCGAAUCAGGUAGGACUACCCGCUGAACUUAAGCAUAUCAAUAAGCGGAGGA
This 358-nucleotide unclassified non-coding RNA is filed under the name soil metagenome. Its description in RNAcentral is "partial contains 5.8S ribosomal RNA, internal transcribed spacer 2, and large subunit ribosomal RNA". The stretch from base 1 to 120 matches the Rfam family "5.8S ribosomal RNA", at positions 35 to 154 of the family's 154-position model. The record is from RNAcentral.